UCCGGUAUAGUGUAACGGUUAACAUAUCGCGUUUUCAAAAAGACCAUUCUGGCCUAAAGAUCCGCGGGGCUCGGGGUUCGAUUCCCCGUACCGGAG
Transfer RNA from Coniochaeta ligniaria NRRL 30616, 96 nucleotides. It matches the Rfam family "tRNA". From Rfam's summary of the family: Transfer RNA (tRNA) molecules are approximately 80 nucleotides in length. Their secondary structure includes four short double-helical elements and three loops (D, anti-codon, and T loops). The record is from Rfam. Lineage: Eukaryota; Fungi; Ascomycota; Sordariomycetes; Coniochaetales; Coniochaetaceae.